AUUGAACGCUGGCGGCAGGCCUAACACAUGCAAGUCGAGCGAGCGGCGGACGGGUGAGUAAUGUAUGGGGACUGCCCGAUAGAGGGGGAUAACUACUGGAAACGGUAGCUAAUACCGCAUACUAACGGAUAACCCAUAUGGGAUCAGCUAGUGUGUGGGGUAAAGGCCAACCAAGGCAACGAUCCGUAGCUGGUUUGAGAGGACGACCAGCCACAUUGGGACUGAGCCACGGGCCAUACUCCUGCGGAGGCAGCAGUGGGGAAUUUUGGACAAUGGGUUAAAGCCUGCUGCAGCCAUCCCGCGUGUAUGAUGAAGGCCUUCGGGUUGUAAAGUACUUUUGGCAGGGAGGCGGUAUCUGCAGAAUAAGCACCGGCUAACUACGUGCCAGCAGCCGCGGUAAUUC
Molecule: ribosomal RNA, 403 nt
Filed under: uncultured bacterium
Lineage: Bacteria
Description: partial 16S ribosomal RNA
Rfam family: Bacterial small subunit ribosomal RNA
Source: RNAcentral